CCUACGGGUGGCAGCAGUGGGGAAUAUUGGACAAUGGGGGCAACCCUGAUCCAGCCAUGCCGCGUGUGUGAAGAAGGCCCUCGGGUUGUAAAGCACUUUCAGUGAGGAAGAACGCCUGGUGGUUAAUACCCAUCAGGAAAGACAUCACUCACAGAAGAAGCACCGGCUAACUCCGUGCCAGCAGCCGCGGUAAUACGGAGGGUGCGAGCGUUAAUCGGAAUUACUGGGCGUAAAGCGCGCGUAGGUGGCUUGAUAAGCCGGUUGUGAAAGCCCCGGGCUCAACCUGGGAACGGCAUCCGGAACUGUCAAGCUAGAGUGCAGGAGAGGGAGGUAGAAUUCCCGGUGUAGCGGUGAAAUGCGUAGAGAUCGGGAGGAAUACCAGUGGCGAAGGCGGCCUUCUGGACUGACACUGACACUGAGGUGCGAAAGCGUGGGUAGCAAACAGGAUUAGAUACCCGAGUAGUC
RNAcentral lists this ribosomal RNA (465 nucleotides) under Vreelandella stevensii. RNAcentral's name for it is "partial 16S ribosomal RNA". It matches the Rfam family "Bacterial small subunit ribosomal RNA", at positions 338 to 795 of the family's 1533-position model. The record is from RNAcentral. Lineage: Bacteria; Pseudomonadati; Pseudomonadota; Gammaproteobacteria; Oceanospirillales; Halomonadaceae.